This 1340-nucleotide ribosomal RNA is filed under the name metagenome. RNAcentral's name for it is "bacterial LSU rRNA". It matches the Rfam family "Bacterial large subunit ribosomal RNA", at positions 1546 to 2865 of the family's 2925-position model. The record is from RNAcentral.
CUCAUAAACUCUGAGACGUGAUACCGAGCCGCUUCAGGCGAAGUCAUUGAUCCUAUGCUGCCUAGAAAAGCCCAGCAGCGAGUUGACAUGGUGCCCGUACCCCAAACCAACACAGGUGGACAGGUAGAGCAUACCAAGGCGAGUGGGAUAACUAUGGUUAAGGAACUCGGCAAAUUGCCUCCGUAACUUCGGGAGAAGGAGGACCCCAGUAGCGUGAUGAGACUUGCUCUCUGAGCGUGAAGGGGUGGCACAAAAUUGAGGGAAGCGACUGUUUACCAAAAACACAGCAGCGUGCUAAGCCGUAAGGCGCUGUAUACGCUGUGACUCCUGCCCGGUGCUGGAAGGUUACGGGGAUGGGUUAGUCCUUCGGGACGAAGCUCUGAACCUAAGCCCCAGUAAACGGCGGCCGUAACUAUAACGGUCCUAAGGUAGCGAAAUUCCUUGUCGGGUAAGUUCCGACCUGCACGAAUGGAGUAACGACUUCCCUACUGUCUCAACCAUAGACCCAGCGAAAUUGAAGUACGAGUAAAGAUGCUCGUUAGCUGCAGAAGGACGGAAAGACCCCGUGGACCUUUACUAUAACUUGAUGUUGUGUUUUGUCAUAUGUUGUGUAGGAUAGGUGGGAGACUUGGAAGCAUGGACGCUAGUCUGUGUGGAGUCAUCGUUGAAAUACCACCCUGCAUAUGGUGAGGCUCUAACCUAGACCCGUUAUCCGGGUUGGGGACAGCGUCAGGCGGGUAGUUUAACUGGGGCGGUUGCCUCCUAAAGAGUAACGGAGGCGCCCAAAGGUUCCCUCAGCCUGGUUGGCAAUCAGGCGUUGAGUGCAAUGGCAAAAGGGAGCUUGACUGCGAGACCUACAAGUCGAGCAGGAGCGAAAGCUGGGCAUAGUGAUCCGGCGGUUGCGUGUGGAAGCGCCGUCGCUCAACGGAUAAAAGGUACCCCGGGGAUAACAGGCUAAUCUUGCCCAAGCGUCCAUAGCGACGGCAAGGUUUGGCACCUCGAUGUCGGCUCAUCGCAUCCUGGGGCUGAAGCAGGUCCCAAGGGUUGGGCUGUUCGCCCAUUAAAGCGGUACGCGAGCUGGGUUCAGAACGUCGUGAGACAGUUCGGUCCCUAUCCUCUGCAGCCGGAGGUGAAUUGAGGAAAGCUGUCCCUAGUACGAGAGGACCGGGACGGACGCAGCUCUCGUGUGCCAGUUGUCCUGCCAAGGGCAUGGCUGGUUAGCGACCUGCGGAAAGGAUAACCGCUGAAAGCAUCUAAGCGGGAAGCCUCUUCCAAGAUGAAUUCACCCACAGGGUUAACCUGGUAAGGCCCGUGGUAGACCACCACGUUGAUAGGCCGGA